GUUUAUUUAGCUUAAAUAAAAGCAUGGCUUUGAAGGUGCCAAGAUGAAAAAUUCAUUAAACA
RNAcentral lists this transfer RNA (62 nucleotides) under Chelopistes texanus. RNAcentral describes it as "tRNA-Phe". Lineage: Eukaryota; Metazoa; Arthropoda; Insecta; Psocodea; Philopteridae. The record is from RNAcentral.